AAAGAAGAACACGUAUGAGAGUAACUGUUCAUACGUUGACGGUAUUUAACCAGAAAGUCACGGCUAACUACGUGCCAGCAGCCGCGGUAAUACGUAGGUGGCAAGCGUUAUCCGGAUUUAUUGGGCGUAAAGAGAGUGCAGGCGGUUUUCUAAGUCUGAUGUGAAAGCCUUCGGCUUAACCGGAGAAGUGCAUCGGAAACUGGAUAACUUGAGUGCAGAAGAGGGUAGUGGAACUCCAUGUGUAGCGGUGGAAUGCGUAGAUAUAUGGAAGAACACCAGUGGCGAAGGCGGCUACCUGGUCUGCAACUGACGCUGAGACUCGAAAGCAUGGGUAGCGAACAGGAUUAGAUACCCUGGUAG
Molecule: ribosomal RNA, 360 nt
Filed under: uncultured bacterium
Lineage: Bacteria
Description: bacterial SSU rRNA
Rfam family: Bacterial small subunit ribosomal RNA
Source: RNAcentral